AUUUACAAAUAAACCCAAAACAGUCCUGGAAUUGCAAGGAAGGCAUUCUGGAGUUGCAGGAACAGGGCGGCGCGUCUUCUCCACGCGCGGCCGCCACAAGAAAUAACAGGGGAUGGGGGAUCUGGCUUGGCUUCCUCCCUUCUUCUCUUUCUCGCCGGCGGUGACCUGCAAAACAAAAGGAACGCAGCAAGCACACAUGUUCUCGGUCUUCUUUCCUUUUAGAUUUGUUUCACUACAGAUCGUUUUUUUGUUUCACCUUCUUCUCCUCUGCUUCAGAUGGCUGGCGACAAAGAGGAGGGAAGGACGAGAGAGGGGCAAGCAGAUCAGGGA
This 330-nucleotide long non-coding RNA is filed under the name Populus trichocarpa (black cottonwood). RNAcentral's name for it is "long non-coding RNA (PTRI_LNC003126)". Lineage: Eukaryota; Viridiplantae; Streptophyta; Magnoliopsida; Malpighiales; Salicaceae. The record is from RNAcentral.